This 349-nucleotide ribosomal RNA is filed under the name uncultured Streptococcus sp. RNAcentral describes it as "bacterial SSU rRNA". It matches the Rfam family "Bacterial small subunit ribosomal RNA", at positions 1033 to 1382 of the family's 1533-position model. The record is from RNAcentral. Lineage: Bacteria; Bacillati; Bacillota; Bacilli; Lactobacillales; Streptococcaceae.
GACAGGUGGUGCGAUGGUUGUCGUCAGCUCGUGUCGUGGGAUGUUGGGUUAAGUCCCGCAACGAGCGCAACCCCUAUUGUUAGUUGCCAUCAUUCAGUUGGGCACUCUAGCGAGACCGCCGGUAAUAAACCGGAGGAAGGUGGGGAUGACGUCAAAUCAUCAUGCCCCUUAUGACCUGGGCUACACACGUGCUACAAUGGUUGGUACAACGAGUUGCGAGUCGGUGACGGCGAGUUAAUCUCUUAAAGCCAAUCUCAGUUCGGAUUGUAGGCUGCAACUCGCCUACAUGAAGUCGGAAUCGCUAGUAAUCGCGGAUCAGCACGCCGCGGUGAAUACGUUCCCGGGCCUU